Parelaphostrongylus tenuis is the source of this 74-nucleotide non-coding RNA. NCBI's taxonomy places the organism in Eukaryota, Metazoa, Nematoda, Chromadorea, Rhabditida, Metastrongylidae. The record is from the annotation of a GenBank genome assembly.
GUGUCGGUGGUGCAGCGGUUCGAGCAAGUGCUCCCGGAUAGGGUGAGAUGUGGGUUCGAGUUCCAACUGGCGCA